RNAcentral lists this ribosomal RNA (481 nucleotides) under uncultured bacterium. RNAcentral describes it as "bacterial SSU rRNA". It matches the Rfam family "Bacterial small subunit ribosomal RNA", at positions 25 to 507 of the family's 1533-position model. The record is from RNAcentral.
CAGAUUGAACGCUGGCGGAAGUGCUUACACAUGCAAGUCGAACGGUAGAGGGGCAACCCUUGAGAGUGGCGAACGGGUGAGUAAUAUAUCGGAACGUGCCCAGUCGUGGGGGAUAACGUAGCGAAAGCUACGCUAAUACCGCAUACGAUCUAUGGAUGAAAGCGGGGGAUCGCAAGACCUCGCGCGAUUGGAGCGGCCGAUAUCAGAUUAGGUAGUUGGUGAGGUAAAGGCUCACCAAGCCGACGAUCUGUAGCUGGUCUGAGAGGACGACCAGCCACACUGGGACUGAGACACGGCCCAGACUCCUACGGGAGGCAGCAGUGGGGAAUUUUGGACAAUGGGCGCAAGCCUGAUCCAGCAAUGCCGCGUGCAGGAUGAAGGCCUUCGGGUUGUAAACUGCUUUUGUACGGAACGAAACGGUGAGCUCUAAUACAGUUUGCUAAUGACGGUACCGUAAGAAUAAGCACCGGCUAACUACGUG